GUUCUUUCCCACCAUGAGGAGCCUUCUGGUGCACAGAAACGGCCAUGUCCUCACCUCGCGGGCAUUAAAAUGGCAGCCAGCGAGCCGUGAGGAAAAGCCCUCUGCCACCUGCACCGGCGUUCCCUCCUGACAGGCGCAGACGCUGCUCACAAGGCUCGUGGUGUCUCAGGGGGGAGCAGAGCAGAAAGCAGAGCCCUAGGGGCAGGGGGAUUUGUGACUGCCACACAGACAUGGCCAGGGCAGAGCUGCUCGUAGCUGUCACAAAGACAUCAACUGAAUUUGUACAGUAAUGCAAGAUAAUUCCACAUUCUACUCUACUGGAAAACAUGGUACCUUCAGGUAUUCCUAGACACAGUGCUGAGAGAUAAAGAAACCAGAAUCAGACACGAUGGUAUACGGCACCCAUCAGUGGUAUACUCUGCAUGUGACAGGUAGCCAGAUACUUGAGGCACAGAAGAACCCUUAUUUUGGGCCUGGAUUAUCAAGAAGAAGAUGUGUGACCAUUCUAGUGACUGAAAGCCACAGAUACCGGAAGACUUUGCUGCAGAGAAGAACGUUGCCUACAGGUCUUGCAGAAUGUUGUGUUGGUGGCAUACAGCACUGGUGUGCCCUUAACUGUCCCUGUGGAUAGCGUUUGUGUUGUUUUGAAAAUAAAGUUUUGCAUCUGGCAUGGUUUUUUUUUUCC
This 685-nucleotide long non-coding RNA is filed under the name Anser brachyrhynchus (Pink-footed goose). RNAcentral's name for it is "lncRNA (ENSABRG00000016268.1)". The record is from RNAcentral. Lineage: Eukaryota; Metazoa; Chordata; Aves; Anseriformes; Anatidae.